CAGUCGCCGCGGGAAUACGGAGGAUCCAAGCGUUAUCCGGAAUCAUUGGGUUUAAAGGGUCCGUAGGCGGUCUUGUAAGUCAGUGGUGAAAGCCCAUCGCUCAACGGUGGAACGGCCAUUGAUACUGCAGGACUUGAAUUAUUGGGAAGUAACUAGAAUAUGUAGUGUAGCGGUGAAAUGCUUAGAGAUUACAUGGAAUACCAAUUGCGAAGGCAGGUUACUACCAAUUGAUUGACGCUGAUGGACGAAAGCGUGGGUAGCGAACAGGAUUAGAUAACCCUGUAGUCCCUGUCUCUUAUAA
This 301-nucleotide ribosomal RNA is filed under the name uncultured bacterium. Its description in RNAcentral is "partial 16S ribosomal RNA". It matches the Rfam family "Bacterial small subunit ribosomal RNA", at positions 509 to 809 of the family's 1533-position model. The record is from RNAcentral.